This 842-nucleotide long non-coding RNA is filed under the name Ananas comosus (pineapple). RNAcentral's name for it is "long non-coding RNA (ACOM_LNC040746)". The record is from RNAcentral. Lineage: Eukaryota; Viridiplantae; Streptophyta; Magnoliopsida; Poales; Bromeliaceae.
CCCCUAUUUUUUUUUUCUUUCUAAAAUGCCCCUCAUAGGUUCCACCGUUAUUCCAAAAUACCCUUGCUGUUAUCCCCUGUUAGUUUAACUCGGGUUAAACAUGGGUUAAAUGUAUACUUGAGUUAAAACUAUCUAAAAUACCAAUUUUGCCCCUACCUUAUUAUCCUAAUCCNUAUAUAUUAUUCCAUAUGUAAUGACUCGACUCACUAAUAAUAUAUUAUUCCAUAUGUAACGACCCUACUCACUAAUAAUAAUAACUCGUUUCACUAAUAAUAUAUUAGGGAUAAUUGCCUAUAUACCCCACAUGGGUCUAGAUAUAUCCGAUCUACCCCUACUUUUUUUUUCUUUCUAAAAUGCCCCUCAUAGGUUCCACCGUUAUUCCAAAAUACCCUCGCUGUUAUCCCCUGUUAGUUUAACUCGGGUUAAACAUGGGUUAAAUGUAUACUUGAGUUAAAACUAUCUAAAAUACCAAUUUUGCCCCUACCUUAUUAUCCUAAUCCCUUAAGUUAUCAUUUCUUUCUCUCCCUCCCAUCUUUCUUUUCCUACGACGCGCGACUUGGCCCCAUUCACAACCGUCUUCAACCUAGGCGACAGCGAGCUUGUUGGAGAGAAAACCGUUGCUUCUCCUCUACCAUUUCUAUUUUGUCUUUGCAAAAAAGUACUUCCUCCUUCUCCGAUGCCUCCUUCUCCACUGUCUCCGCUGUCUCCGUCGAUCUUCGCCAUCGUUUCCAUUAUUUAGAGUUUUGGAGUAUACAAAUAUUGUGCUCUGUUUGAACGAGAUCAGGGUCUACAUUGUGUUCUUACAACUUUCUACGUAAAGAAAAAGGUAAGAUUCAUGAAAU